GGUAAUCGGAAGUCUACUGGACGAAUGCGGCAACGUUGCGAUAUUUCCUGCUUAAUAUUUUCAGGCACAAUGAAUGAUAUUAAGGGCAGGUGCGCCACAUUGGGGGAAGAUGCAAAGCAGAAAUACAUUCAAGAGGCAGCAGCACUGAGGGCAUAUGGGCAGGCGCAGGACCUAAACCCUGAGAUGGAGGCAAUUUGUGCUGUGUCUGCUGCGUCCAUUUUUAUGAUAAGAAGAAGAAUGCAAGAAAGAAGUGGCAUUCAUGGUCUCAGUGCACAGUGUGCCAAUCAUGGUCACACACAGCAUGUGGCUUUAAAAAGAACAUGUGCGUUCACUGCCAGGGUCAAGACACCAUGCAAACACCCUGAAUAUGUAUCUUGUUACUUGUUUGAGUUGUUUUUACUGUGUUGACGGCCCCCAACCCAUCCAUACAAACACACACACACAAUACAUACAUAUGCUGCAAAUUUAUUGUAAUGACCACACUUCACACGAAAGAAGAAAAUUGUGAUCUUUUUGUUAUUUUCAUUCACCCCAUUUUUAUUUAUUAUUGUUGUUUGUUGGCACCAUCAAUGUGUUCUCCUUUAUACAGGACUUAUGUGGGGACCAAUAAAGUUAUAUUGUACUGAA
Long non-coding RNA from Carassius auratus (goldfish), 627 nucleotides. RefSeq lists it as uncharacterized. The transcript has 3 exons. The record is from RefSeq and is a predicted model, not a curated record. Lineage: Eukaryota; Metazoa; Chordata; Actinopteri; Cypriniformes; Cyprinidae.